CAGCUCCUGAAUUCGUUGAUUUUUUGGAGGGUUUUUCGUGUCUCUAUGUAGGCAACAUGAAGUGUACUUACACAAAACUAGAUGGUGUUGCCAACUAUACACCUAGGCUAUAUGGUAUAAGCUAUUCCUUCUAGGCUACAAGCAUGUGCAGCAAGUUACUGUACUGAAUACUGUGGGCAGAUGGAACACAAUGGUAAGUAUUUGUGUAUCAAAACUUAUCUAAACAUAGAAAAGUAAAAUAUAGCAGUAUAAUAUCAUGGAACCACCAUUGUAUAUGUGGUUUGUCAUUAACCAAAAUGUCCUUAUGCAAUUCUCAUCACACACACACACUAAUGGUAACUAUGUGAGGGAAUGGCUUUUU
This 361-nucleotide long non-coding RNA is filed under the name Pan troglodytes (chimpanzee). RNAcentral describes it as "long non-coding RNA NONPTRT017086". The record is from RNAcentral. Lineage: Eukaryota; Metazoa; Chordata; Mammalia; Primates; Hominidae.